RNAcentral lists this ribosomal RNA (814 nucleotides) under uncultured bacterium. RNAcentral describes it as "bacterial SSU rRNA". It matches the Rfam family "Bacterial small subunit ribosomal RNA", at positions 62 to 842 of the family's 1533-position model. The record is from RNAcentral.
UCGAGCGAGCGGAACUAACAGAUUUACUUCGGUAAUGACGUUAGGAAAGCGAGCGGCGGAUGGGUGAGUAACACGUGGGGAACCUGCCCCAUAGUCUGGGAUACCACUUGGAAACAGGUGCUAAUACCGGAUAAGAAAGCAGAUCGCAUGAUCAGCUUUUAAAAGGCGGCGUAAGCUGUCGCUAUGGGAUGGCCCCGCGGUGCAUUAGCUAGUUGGUAAGGUAAAGGCUUACCAAGGCGAUGAUGCAUAGCCGAGUUGAGAGACUGAUCGGCCACAUUGGGACUGAGACACGGCCCAAACUCCUACGGGAGGCAGCAGUAGGGAAUCUUCCACAAUGGACGCAAGUCUGAUGGAGCAACGCCGCGUGAGUGAAGAAGGUUUUCGGAUCGUAAAGCUCUGUUGUUGGUGAAGAAGGAUAGAGGUAGUAACUGGCCUUUAUUUGACGGUAAUCAACCAGAAAGUCACGGCUAACUACGUGCCAGCAGCCGCGGUAAUACGUAGGUGGCAAGCGUUGUCCGGAUUUAUUGGGCGUAAAGCGAGCGCAGGCGGAAGAAUAAGUCUGAUGUGAAAGCCCUCGGCUUAACCGAGGAACUGCAUCGGAAACUGUUUUUCUUGAGUGCAGAAGAGGAGAGUGGAACUCCAUGUGUAGCGGUGGAAUGCGUAGAUAUAUGGAAGAACACCAGUGGCGAAGGCGGCUCUCUGGUCUGCAACUGACGCUGAGGCUCGAAAGCAUGGGUAGUGAACAGGAUUAGAUACCCUGGUAGUCCAUGCCGUANACGAUGAGUGCUAAGUGUUGGGAGGUUUCCGCCUCUCA